AUUGAACGCUGGCGGCAUGCCUUACACAUGCAAGUCGAACGGCAGCACGGGUGCUUGCACCUGGUGGCGAGUGGCGAACGGGUGAGUAAUAUAUCGGAACGUACCUUAUUGUGGGGGAUAACGCAGCGAAAGCUGUGCUAAUACCGCAUAAUCCCUAAGGGGGAAAGCGGGGGACCGUAAGGCCUCGCGCAAUUAGAGCGGCCGAUACCUGAUUAGCUAGUUGGUGAGGUAAAGGCUCACCAAGGCAACGAUCAGUAGCUGGUCUGAGAGGAUGAUCAGCCACACUGGGACUGAUACACGGCCCAGACUCCUACGGGAGGCAGCAGUGGGGAAUUUUGGACAAUGGGGGCAACCCUGAUCCAGCAAUGCCGCGUGAGUGAAGAAGGCCUUCGGGUUGUAAAGCUCUUCUGUCAGGGAAGAAACAGCAGCUCUAACACAGUAUGCGAAUGACGGUACCUGAAGAAUAAGCACCGGCUAACUACGUGCCAGCCGCCGCAGUAA
Molecule: ribosomal RNA, 501 nt
Filed under: uncultured bacterium
Lineage: Bacteria
Description: partial 16S ribosomal RNA
Rfam family: Bacterial small subunit ribosomal RNA
Source: RNAcentral